RNAcentral lists this ribosomal RNA (253 nucleotides) under uncultured bacterium. Its description in RNAcentral is "partial 16S ribosomal RNA". It matches the Rfam family "Bacterial small subunit ribosomal RNA", at positions 524 to 776 of the family's 1533-position model. The record is from RNAcentral.
UACGUAGGGUGCAAGCGUUGUCCGGAAUUAUUGGGCGUAAAGAGCUCGUAGGCGGCCUGUUGCGUCGGCUGUGAAAACCCGGGGCUCAACCCCGGGCCUGCAGUCGAUACGGGCAGGCUAGAGUCCGGCAGGGGAGACUGGAAUUCCUGGUGUAGCGGUGAAAUGCGCAGAUAUCUGCAGGAACACCCGUGGCGAAAGCGGCGAGCUGGACCACUACUGACGCUGAAGAACGAAAGCUAGGGGAGCAAACAGG